GUUGGGUGCAGUGGUGCACACCUAUAAUCCUAGUGGCUUGGGAGGCUGAGGCAGGAGGAUUGCAAGUUUAAAGCCAACCUCCGUAACUUAGCUUAGUCCCUAAGCAAUUUAGCAAGACCCUGUCUCAA
RNAcentral lists this small RNA (128 nucleotides) under Marmota monax (woodchuck). Lineage: Eukaryota; Metazoa; Chordata; Mammalia; Rodentia; Sciuridae. The record is from RNAcentral.